Long non-coding RNA from Bos taurus (domestic cattle), 619 nucleotides. The record is from Ensembl. NCBI's taxonomy places the organism in Eukaryota, Metazoa, Chordata, Mammalia, Artiodactyla, Bovidae.
GGUGAAGACUGCUGCCACGUCCUGCCUAUCUCAUGCUGCACGUAGUGGGGUGUAGCUCCAGGACACUUGCCUGAUCCCCAGGCAAGGCUUUCCCUGGCAGCUACACCAGGAAAGCUGUGGUCCUGGCCCCAGCCUCGGCACGCAGCUCGGGCAUCCCAGUCUCUGAAGAGAGAGUUGCAGCCUAGUCUCAGGCCUCUUGGCCAGUCAAGCCCUUCAUAUGUUUACAUCCCUAACCCUGGCGUCUUCAUGCCCAGGUCUCCUUCCCUGAGGUCUUGGGCGGAGGUCUUCCAGGCACCUCAGCUGAGACCUCUGUGUGGAGUGGAGGCCUUGCCACUUCUCCCCACGGGGACUCAGGACUCAGUACACAUCCACUCUCAGUUCUCCCCUCCCCGACUCUGGGGUCUGUAAAGCUGCCAGAGCCUCUUAUUCAGGACCCCUUCAACACUGAGAUUAGCCCACAUCAGUGCUGAUCCACCUGGGCCUCUACCAAGGUGUCAUUUCAUGGAGAAAAUGAAACAGGAGGAAGUUAGCGCCUUCUCGGGUUCAGCCUCCUGCUUAUACUAUCACGGCAAGUGAUUAAAGGCUUCACUGUUACUUUCAUUUUGGCUCAUUGUUGCUU